This 504-nucleotide ribosomal RNA is filed under the name Triticum aestivum (bread wheat). RNAcentral's name for it is "partial small subunit ribosomal RNA". Lineage: Eukaryota; Viridiplantae; Streptophyta; Magnoliopsida; Poales; Poaceae. The record is from RNAcentral.
AUGUCACACACAUGCUGUGAGGCAAACGGAGCAACUGGAAUAAAAAAGAUAAUUUUCUAUCAUAUUGAAAUUGAUGAUAUAGAAGCAGGUGUGUUCAAGUCCUUGCUCCAUUUCAUCUACACGGACUCACUCCCUGAGACGACUCAUGAAGGAACCGAUGAAGGCGCAACGCAAGAAGAUAUAGCAACAGCUGGCCAUCUACUUGUAGCGGCAGAUAGGUACGACAUUGCGAGGCUCAAGCUGAUAUGUGAGGAGAUAUUGUGUAAUCACAUCGAUUCCGACAUGGUUGCAACUAGCUUGGUUUUGGCUGAGCAGCAUAAUUACCAUGGACUCAAGGAGGCUUGCUUCGAGUUCCUUGCUUCUCCGUCCAAUUUGGAAGGGAUGAUCGCAAGCGAUGGUUACAAACAUCUAAAAAGGAGUUGCCCGUCUCUUCUCAAAGAGCUGAUUGCUAGGCUCUUGCCUGUUGAGCUGACAGCAGCUAAGGAUAUUAUCAGGGACAUUUAG